RNAcentral lists this unclassified non-coding RNA (407 nucleotides) under uncultured Cortinarius. RNAcentral's name for it is "sequence contains ITS2". The stretch from base 1 to 154 matches the Rfam family "5.8S ribosomal RNA". The record is from RNAcentral. Lineage: Eukaryota; Fungi; Basidiomycota; Agaricomycetes; Agaricales; Cortinariaceae.
AACUUUUGGCAACGGAUCUCUUGGCUCUCGUAUCGAUGAAGAACGCAGCGAAAUGCGAUAAGUAAUGUGAAUUGCAGAAUUCAGUGAAUCAUCGAAUCUUUGAACGCACCUUGCGCUCCUUGGUAUUCCGAGGAGCAUGCCUGUUUGAGUGUCAUUAAUAUAUAUAUCAAACUUCUCUUUGUUGAGUGGUUUGGAUGUGGGGGUUUUUGCUGGGCCCUUGUAAAGGGUUCAGCUCCCCUGAAAUGCAUUAGCAGAACAACCCUGUUCAUUGGUGUGAUAACUAUCUACGCUAUUGAAUGUGAGGGGCAGUUCAGCUUUCUAACAGUCCUUGGACAAUUCAUCAUUAAUGUGACCUCAAAUCAGGUAGGACUACCCGCUGAACUUAAGCAUAUCAAUAAGCGGAGGCU